GAUGUUACCUUUAGAGAAUCUGAGUCUUAUUUUCCUUUCAAGUCAUCUCUUCAGCAAGAGCAUAAGAAGGAAAAGGAAGAGGUGUUUUCUCCUAACCAAGCUAUUAAGCCUCGGUCACAUCUUGGUAAUGAGCCAUCUAAUCAGGACGAACCAUUAUUAGGCUUGACUCACACCUUAGCAAUGAGUUAUCUAAUCAGGACCAACCACCUCCUCAAACCAAAGAGAAAUUGAAUAUAUUGGAUUUGAGAACCUACAUGCAUCGGAAUAAGACAGAUACAAUCAUUGAACUUGAUACACCUAAUCA
This 304-nucleotide unclassified non-coding RNA is filed under the name Hevea brasiliensis (rubber tree). Lineage: Eukaryota; Viridiplantae; Streptophyta; Magnoliopsida; Malpighiales; Euphorbiaceae. The record is from RNAcentral.